Molecule: ribosomal RNA, 492 nt
Filed under: uncultured bacterium
Lineage: Bacteria
Description: partial 16S ribosomal RNA
Rfam family: Bacterial small subunit ribosomal RNA
Source: RNAcentral
AGUGAACGCUGGCGGUAGGCCUAACACAUGCAAGUCGAACGGCAGCACAGUAAGAGCUUGCUCUUACGGGUGGCGAGUGGCGGACGGGUGAGGAAUACAUCGGAAUCUACUUUUUCGUGGGGGAUAACGGAGGGAAACUUACGCUACUACCGCAUACGACCUACGGGUGAAAGCAGGGGAUCUUCGGACCUUGCGCGAUUGAAUGAGCCGAUGUCGGAUUAGCUAGUUGGCGGGGUAAAGGCCCACCAAGGCGACGAUCCGUAGCUGGUCUGAGAGGAUGAUCAGCCACACUGGAACUGAGACACGGUCCAGACUCCUACGGGAGGCAGCAGUGGGGAAUAUUGGACAAAGGGCGCAAGCCUGAUCCAGCCAUACCGCGUGGGUGAAGAAGGCCUUCGGGUUGUAAAGCCCUUUUGUUGGGAAAGAAAAGCAGCAGGUUAAUACCCCGCUGUUCUGACGGUACCCAAAGAAUAAGCACCGGCUAACUUCGUG